GUAAAGCGCGUCUAGGUGGUUAUGUAAGUCUGAUGUGAAAAUGCAGGGCUUAACUCUGUAUUGCGUUGGAAACUGCAUGACUAGAGUACUGGAGAGGUAAGCGGAACUACAAGUGUAGAGGUGAAAUUCGUAGAUAUUUGUAGGAAUGCCGAUGGGGAAGCCAGCUUACUGGACAGAUACUGACGCUAAAGCGCGAAAGCGUGGGUAGCAAACAGGAUUAGAUACCCUGGUAGUCCACGCCGUAAACGAUGAUUACUAGGUGUUGGGGGUCGAACCUCAGCGCCCAAGCUAACGCGAUAAGUAAUCCGCCUGGGGAGUACGUACGCAAGUAUGAAACUCAAAGGAAUUGACGGGGACCCGCACAAGCGGUGGAGCAUGUGGUUUAAUUCGACGCAACGCGAGGAACCUUACCAGCGUUUGACAUC
This 425-nucleotide ribosomal RNA is filed under the name uncultured bacterium. RNAcentral describes it as "bacterial SSU rRNA". It matches the Rfam family "Bacterial small subunit ribosomal RNA", at positions 560 to 988 of the family's 1533-position model. The record is from RNAcentral.